This is a non-coding RNA of Microcebus murinus (gray mouse lemur), 1037 nucleotides long. The record is from RefSeq and is a predicted model, not a curated record. Lineage: Eukaryota; Metazoa; Chordata; Mammalia; Primates; Cheirogaleidae.
UAUAGCAGAGACAGGUGUGUGCAAGUCUCAGACAGGGGGACAGUUGUGUGCAGGUCUCAGGGGGACAGGUGUGUGCAGGUCUCAGGUAGAGGGACAGAUGUGCACAGCCCUCUGAUAGCAGGGACAAGUGUGUACAGGUCUCAGACAGGGACAGGUGUGUGCAGGUCUCAGGUAGAGGGACAGAUGUGUACAGCCCUCUGAUAGCAGGGACAGGUGUGUACAGGUCUCAGACGGGGACAGGUGUGUGCAGUUCUCAGGACAGGUGUGCACAGCUCUCUGAUAGCAGAGACAGGUGUGUGCAGGUCUCAGGCAGUGAGAACAGGUGAGUACAUGUGUCUGGUAGCAGGGACAGGUGUGUGCAGGUCUCAAGCAGUGAGGACAGGUGAGUGCAGGUCUCUGAUAGCAAGGACAGGUGUGUGCAGGUCUCAGGCUGUGAGGACAGGUGAGUGCAGGUGUCUGGUAGCAGGGACAGGUGAGUGCAGGUCUCUGAUAGCAGGGACAGGUGUGUGCAGGUCUCAGGCUGUGAGGACAGGUGAGUGCAGGUGUCUGGUAGCAGGGACAGGUGAGUGCAGGUCUCUGAUAGCAGGGACAGGUGUGUGCAGGUCUCAGGCUGUGAGGACAGGUGAGUGCAGGUGUCUAGUAGCAGGGACAAGUGUGUGCAGGUCUCAGGCAGUGAGGACAGGUGAGUGCAGGUCUCUGAGAGCAGGGACAGGUGUGUUCAUACCAGAGUCAAGAGGGAGUCUAUUGUGGCUGAGAGUGCUGUGGCCAGCUGAGGAAGGGACACAGGUGGGUCGGCACUGCUGGCCCCGGGCACACGCACAGGAGGUGGCCUCGGGAGACGCCCGUCUCUGCUGAGGCCAGAGGGUGGGAGGCGUGGAGGAGCUCCUGGGUGGCCGUAGGGCCUCCAUGGCUGUUGGAGUCCAGUCCCCGGACGAUGGGUGGACGCCCGCCCCACACUGGCCGCCCGCCCUGACUUUGGAGGGAGGCAGGAAGCGCCUAUUCCCUUCAUCGCCACCAGCCUGGCCCGUAUCUGGCCC